AGCAGCUCAAAUGUGAAAAACAAGACCCAGAGAGGGGAAAUCAUUUGAAUCCUGUACUGGUAUUGCUUUGUGUUCCUGGAUUUGGAGAAUUUCUGGGAACACAGGAAAAGGAAAGUGAAUGCCACCAGGAUCUGAACCCAAGAUUCCAGCCUCGGUCACCACCCUGACCCAGAGAAUGCCACUGGGAUGGGGAGAACUUGUCAGUCUUCAUCCUUCCCCACAAGUAUACUGAGGCCAGGACAGUCUUAGGCCCCCGCUGCCCUCCUGGCUCUCAGUGGAGAGAAAAGAGGAAAUAAAUUUGGACCUAGCCUUGAGAUCCUGGAAGAGCUCCUUUGGAUUUAGCCUUGGGAUCCUAGCAUCUCCUCACAAAAUUAUGAUCUUCCCUGGGCAUCUCUAAGCCACCAAUUGGGUUGCCUGCACCUGAGCAAAUACAGCAAGCACCUGCCUUAGAGAGCUCUUAGAGGGAUUAUCCGCAGCCCGAAGAAAGAAGGUUGCAACUGAGGAAGAAUUUCUGAACAGGGAAGAGUGGAAGAAAAGACUGCAGUAGGUAGAGCAUCAAGGGAAGCUGUGGAAAUAUAUUUUCUUA
This 586-nucleotide small RNA is filed under the name Pongo abelii (Sumatran orangutan). Its description in RNAcentral is "processed transcript". Lineage: Eukaryota; Metazoa; Chordata; Mammalia; Primates; Hominidae. The record is from RNAcentral.